GGAAUGGAGCCAGUUCCUAUUUCAUGUAGCUGUGUUGAGACUAGUGUGCUUCCUGUAAAUUGUUCAGAACAGAGCCUGAUGUGCUUACCAUUGCUUUUGGUGUCAUUAUUGUAGUACUUUGCUUUUCACUGGGUGCAAGACAAAAUCUCAAUGAGAAGUAGUAGGUAGGCAGGAGUUCUUACAAGCAGGAAGCAAUGGUAGACACUUGACUUUUUAGGUAGGAGUUGGCUAUGGCAGGUGUAAGAGCUGAGUCUGAUUUGCAGGCCUUGCCUUGGUCGCAUUCUAGGCAGCCACAGCAGCCCACAUCACAGUUGGGUGCCCCAUGUGGAGAGUUGUUUAAUAAAUACCCUUCGCUGAUGAUCACAAUGGAGUUUUAUGGUUGCUCUCAGCCUACACGAUACAGAAGUAUAGAAGUAGUUUAAUCUGUAACGGAACACGGAUUUUCCUAUAUUGCCUAUUAAGCUCUCAUUGUGAAAGCCAGUAACUUGUACUCUGAUAGAAAUGAGUCUGCAGUGAUAGUAAUUUAACAAGAAAGUUAGUGUGGAAGCCAAGCUCCCUUUCACGUGCCUUAAAUUUUACCUUUAGUGUCUCAAUGCAUUUUGCAUCUGAGCUUGGCAGUUAAUGGUCUCUGUAAUAAAUUCAAAGUCAAGUUGAGCCCAUGUGGAAUUCUCAAGUCUGUGUGUCUUUGCAAGGCCCUCAUGCCAUCUAGGCUCCUUCCUGGUCAUUUUUUACCAAGUUGAUUGUUUUGUAACAAAUAAUUUACUGAUUGGAAUUCGGAUUGAAUGCUACAGCAGGAAGCAAUCUAUUCUCAAGAACCUGAAGGUUUUUUAGCUGUCUCCUGUUUUGUUGCUAACCUCUUACAAACUGUGGCAACAUCAAGCAGUUCAUAUUCAAGUAAGUUAAAAAGAACAUUUCUACAACCUCUUGUUUUAUUAUUAAUUUGGUUGCAAGCUCAUGGCAGGUAAGGUUUGCGCAUGAUUAGGCAUAUUUGGAAAUUACCAUUGUGGUCAAGAAGAAUCAAAGAAAAGGUCUUUACUACUCAUGUGAUAACUAACAUCCCAUCUGAGUUUAGCCUGUAAACCUUUAACACUGUAUCAAUCCUUCAUCUGAUUUCUUUCAUGCACAGGAGUUGGGGGUGGGGAAAGAUGAAGCACAUAGUCACCUUCUGGCUGCUUUGUUCCUGCCUCUUUUGAUCUCCCAACCUAUAUUGAUAGCUUAAAAUGUCCGUCCUAUUUUCUUUACUUUCCCCCACUCCCUUCAUCUGGUCCCUGUCGGACAGUGAUACAGAUAUAUCGCUAAAUAUCAGCUAUCAAUAAACCAGUAGACUUAAUUAAAGAAAAACAUUGUGUAAUUUGCUGUAAGCACUUUUCUCAGAUUACCAUUAAUUGACUCUGUCCAUAGAUCAUUCACUACAAUGUUUUAUCUUUAUUGGAUUCCUGAUUUUUUUCCAAAAUAUUUUACCUUCCAAGCAUAAAAUGACAUGAUCAAAAUGUUGUUUGUUGGUAUGAAGAUACACUGUAAAUCAAACUGGUCCCUACUACUACAGGUAUAUAAUUCUAUGGUGGAAGGUGGCCAGGACCCUAGAGAUGAUAUGAAAUCUCCACCAUCUGCAGCCCUUAGAAGUAGGGCGGUAUGCAUCAAAAGAAGUGUAAAACAGUCUUGGCUCUUGAGGAGAAAGUCAAGGGUUCAGAAGACUGUUGAGACGGAAGGGAUCAAAACUAUCCAUCACUUCCAGAAAUUCUAGUGUCCCUGUGAUACUGAGUUCCUGUCUUGGAGUUUCUGAUCGCAGGCUGUCAUAAGGGAAGCAUAAGAUGGAGUGAAUCCUUUUCUCCACACGCUUGGUUACGGUUGGUGUUUUAUCACAGCAACUGAGGAACAGCCUAGAACAACUGGCAAAGAGAAGACAUAGUGGUUCACAGUAGCUGGGAGAAUUAGCUUCCCAACUUUGCAUUCAGUGACUUCUUGCUGGCAACCUGGAAUUGGUCCUAGUGGGUAGGAGUAUUAGCACCACGAGAAGUGAAGACGUGGCAGACGUUUUAAAGUGGUAAGUGAUAUUUUGCAUACCCUUCGGAGAGUCAGUUGUUAACACUUGUCUGUAAAACCCUUUUAAGAAACUAUGCCUUUCCCUGGUCAGAUGUAUAGCUGGCAAAUAAUAUUUUCCCAUUCUAUUAGGCUGCUGCUUCAGUUGAUUUACAGUUUCCUUUUCAGUACAGAAACAAAAUGGAUGUAGUGUCAAGCUGCCCUCUAAGUUUGUAUCUCUGUUUCCACAGAUGAGUGUCGCUCUCAGAACUCAGAGCUAUUUAUGUGUGCAACGGAUGGUAGUUAACACAGAAACUCACAAGAGGUCAAAGUAUAGACAAUGCGUGGAGUGCUCAGUCCCAAACACAGUACCUGUACUAUUUCCCCAACCUUCCGAUGAGAGAUCAUAUUAGAUAAUGGGGCGGGAAGAUUUUACAAAGCAAAGCUCAUGGAGGACCAGAGUGAAACUGUCUAAUGGACAUGGUGGGACCCCUGCAUUGAGACGACAUGGAAAAGGUGGAAAGGUCACCAUAUACAAUGUAAGGUGAAAGCUUUCACCAGGAACCAAAACAGCUGACAUACUGAUCUUAGACUUCCCAGAAUCCAAACUCUGAAGUAAAUUUGUUGUUUAAGGGCCUAACCCAGGAUUUAGGACUACCACGCUGAAGAUUGGGCUUCUAGUACUUGAUUCUAUCUACUGUGGAGGUGGAGAUGGCAGACAGAGAGACUGUAGGCCCUAAAAGCAUGGAUGCAAACAAUGAGAACAGCUUCUCGGAUGCUCAUGGCUCAAUGUGCUUCCUACCAACUCCUCCAGCAGUGUGAAAGACAGGUAUAUGAAAACACGACCACGCUGUCCUGUUGGUCCCAGUCUGGUCAUUACUCACUUCUGUUACAACAAGGGUGUGAGAGUUUGCAAGGCCAUCCCACAUUUUAACUGAUUUUGCUACAUGUUUCCUGUGCUUGGUCAUGUACUCUGUUAAGACUGCUUUGAAAGAACGUUACAUCUCAGGGAUGGAGUCGUAAUCCAUCAGCAGUAAUGGUUCUGCAGUAGAGAACUUGUAAUGUCCUUGGAGAGGGUUCAGUUCGCUUCUCAGAACCCACCUCAAAACUUCUUGUAACUCUGACUCCAAGGGACCCAAAACCCUUUCCUAUGUUCCAUAGGUUCUUGCACCUCAUACGUAUUUACACAAAUACAUAAUUAAAAUAAAAGAAAUUAAAAAAAUACUACCACCCAUAAGCUUAAAUGGUAAUUACAAAAGCAAAUAUUUCCCUUUCUAAGUUCUAAGUCAGUAUAAAAUAUGCAUUUAUUUCACCAAUUCAUACAGUAGCUUUAAGAUUUUUCUCUGUGCUGAAGUGAUUUAAUGAAAGAACGUAAGGUUGAAAAUCAAUACAAGAAGAAAAUCAAGUAGAACUUGUUAGUAGAGAAGUGUCAGACCAUCCUUCCGUGCUGAUCCCUUCUCUAGCCUGUGUUUCUCAGGGAUCCUAGAGGGCAUAGUUUUGACAUCACUGUAUUAAGCUAUAAAACUUAUUAUAAACAAUUUUUGUUUUACAAAAGCUAUUCGUUUGGCAGAAGACAGCAAGCUAUGAACCCAUCCCAUCUUGCCAUUGCUGGGUUUGGUGCUUCACUAAGCACUCUGAAGACUUUAUUCUCUUUAUUAACCUUCCUUUCCUCCACAAUUGCUACAUCAUUGUUCCACCAAUGCCCUUGAGAGACUAAAGCCAACAACUUGGUUAACAGCAUCCUGUACUCAGUAAUAAACACAGUGUUUCCAUAGACUUUAUCCUUUUACUACUGUUCUAUGUUUCUGGCUGAUGGCACACAAUGCUGCUGUCAGACUUUGACCUGGAGCCACGCUUCUGCAUGCUCUCCCAAGAUCAUAGAAGCUUUUCCAUAAAGAAAAUCUAUAAAGCUGACAUUCAUGGGUCUUAAAUUAACUAUCCGACCCAAAUUAACUUAUUGACCUUCACUGAGCUUUGAUUUUUCUAAUCUGUAAAAUAGAUCAGUGGCAUUGACUUGACCUAAAUAAUACAAA
RNAcentral lists this small RNA (4052 nucleotides) under Rattus norvegicus (Norway rat). RNAcentral describes it as "uncharacterized LOC103692063". Lineage: Eukaryota; Metazoa; Chordata; Mammalia; Rodentia; Muridae. The record is from RNAcentral.